Molecule: ribosomal RNA, 1173 nt
Filed under: uncultured Bacteroides sp.
Lineage: Bacteria; Pseudomonadati; Bacteroidota; Bacteroidia; Bacteroidales; Bacteroidaceae
Description: bacterial SSU rRNA
Rfam family: Bacterial small subunit ribosomal RNA
Source: RNAcentral
AGUUUGAUCCUGGCUCAGGAUGAACGCUAGCUACAGGCUUAACACAUGCAAGUCGAGGGGCAGCAUUUUAGUUUGCUUGCAAACUAAAGAUGGCGACCGGCGCACGGGUGAGUAACACGUAUCCAACCUGCCGAUAACUCGGGGAUAGCCUUUCGAAAGAAAGAUUAAUAUCCGAUGGUAUAUUAAAACCGCAUGGUUUUACUAUUAAAGAAUUUCGGUUAUCGAUGGGGAUGCGUUCCAUUAGUUUGUUGGCGGGGUAACGGCCCACCAAGACUACGAUGGAUAGGGGUUCUGAGAGGAAGGUCCCCCACAUUGGAACUGAGACACGGUCCAAACUCCUACGGGAGGCAGCAGUGAGGAAUAUUGGUCAAUGGACGAGAGUCUGAACCAGCCAAGUAGCGUGAAGGAUGACUGCCCUAUGGGUUGUAAACUUCUUUUAUAUGGGAAUAAAGUAUUCCACGUGUGGGAUUUUGUAUGUACCAUAUGAAUAAGGAUCGGCUAACUCCGUGCCAGCAGCCGCGGUAAUACGGAGGAUCCGAGCGUUAUCCGGAUUUAUUGGGUUUAAAGGGAGCGUAGGUGGAUUGUUAAGUCAGUUGUGAAAGUUUGCGGCUCAACCGUAAAAUUGCAGUUGAAACUGGCAGUCUUGAGUACAGUAGAGGUGGGCGGAAUUCGUGGUGUAGCGGUGAAAUGCUUAGAUAUCACGAAGAACUCCGAUUGCGAAGGCAGCUCACUAGACUGCAACUGACACUGAUGCUCGAAAGUGUGGGUAUCAAACAGGAUUAGAUACCCUGGUAGUCCACACAGUAAACGAUGAAUACUCGCUGUUUGCGAUAUACAGUAAGCGGCCAAGCGAAAGCAUUAAGUAUUCCACCUGGGGAGUACGCCGGCAACGGUGAAACUCAAAGGAAUUGACGGGGGCCCGCACAAGCGGAGGAACAUGUGGUUUAAUUCGAUGAUACGCGAGGAACCUUACCCGGGCUUAAAUUGCAUUUGAAUAAUCUGGAAACAGGUUAGCCGCAAGGCAAAUGUGAAGGUGCUGCAUGGUUGUCGUCAGCUCGUGCCGUGAGGUGUCGGCUUAAGUGCCAUAACGAGCGCAACCCUUAUCUUUAGUUACUAACAGGUCAUGCUGAGGACUCUAGAGAGACUGCCGUCGUAAGAUGUGAGGAAGGUGGA